Non-coding RNA from Manacus vitellinus (golden-collared manakin), 72 nucleotides. NCBI's taxonomy places the organism in Eukaryota, Metazoa, Chordata, Aves, Passeriformes, Pipridae. The record is from Rfam.
CCCCUGGUGGUCUAGUGGUUAGGAUGCGGCGCUUUCACCGCCGCAGGCUGGGUUCGAUUCCCGGUCAGGGAA